RNAcentral lists this transfer RNA (91 nucleotides) under Clostridiales bacterium. RNAcentral's name for it is "tRNA-Ser". It matches the Rfam family "tRNA". From Rfam's summary of the family: Transfer RNA (tRNA) molecules are approximately 80 nucleotides in length. Their secondary structure includes four short double-helical elements and three loops (D, anti-codon, and T loops). Lineage: Bacteria; Bacillati; Bacillota; Clostridia; Eubacteriales. The record is from RNAcentral.
GGAGAAGUACUCAAGUGGUGACGAGGCUCCCCUGCUAAGGGAGUAGGUCGGGUUGACCGGCGCGAGGGUUCAAAUCCCUCCUUCUCCGCCA